UACGUAGGGUGCAAGCGUUGUCCGGAAUUAUUGGGCGUAAAGAGCUCGUAGGCGGUCUGUCGCGUCGGAUGUGAAAAUCCAGGGCUUAACCCUGGACCUGCAUUCGAUACGGGCAGACUAGAGUUCGGUAGGGGAGACUGGAAUUCCUGGUGUAGCGGUGAAAUGCGCAGAUAUCAGGAGGAACACCGGUGGCGAAGGCGGGUCUCUGGGCCGAUACUGACGCUGAGACGCGAAAGCGUGGGGAGCGAACAGG
RNAcentral lists this ribosomal RNA (253 nucleotides) under uncultured bacterium. RNAcentral describes it as "partial 16S ribosomal RNA". It matches the Rfam family "Bacterial small subunit ribosomal RNA", at positions 524 to 776 of the family's 1533-position model. The record is from RNAcentral.